This 500-nucleotide ribosomal RNA is filed under the name uncultured bacterium. RNAcentral describes it as "partial 16S ribosomal RNA". It matches the Rfam family "Bacterial small subunit ribosomal RNA", at positions 30 to 523 of the family's 1533-position model. The record is from RNAcentral.
AUUGAACGCUGGCGGCAUGCCUUACACAUGCAAGUCGAACGGCAGCUCGGGAGCAAUCCUGGUGGCGAGUGGCGAACGGGUGAGUAAUAUAUCGGAACGUGCCUAGUCGUGGGGGAUCACGCAGCGAUAGCUGCGCUAACACCGCAGACGGUCUACGGACUAAAGAGGGGGAGUGCAAGAGCUCGCGCAAUUGUAGCGGACGAUAUCAGUUUAGCUAGUUGGCGGGGUAAAGGCCCACCAAGGAGACGAUCUGUAGCUGGUCGGAGAGGACGACCGGCCACACUGGAACUGAGACACGGUCCAGACUCCUACGGGAGGCAGCGGUGGGGAAUUUUGGACAAUGGGCGAAAGCCUGAUCCAGCAAUGCCGCGUGCAGGAUGAAGGCCUUCGGGUUGUAAACUGCUUUUGUACGGAACGAAACGGUGAGCUCUAAUACAGUUUGCUAAUGACGGUACCGUAAGAAUAAGCACCGGCUAACUACGUGCCAGCAGCCGCAGUAA